This 1353-nucleotide long non-coding RNA is filed under the name Nicotiana tabacum (common tobacco). Its description in RNAcentral is "long non-coding RNA (NTAB_LNC006960)". The record is from RNAcentral. Lineage: Eukaryota; Viridiplantae; Streptophyta; Magnoliopsida; Solanales; Solanaceae.
UUGCUUAUAAAGACAACUUUUCUUGCCUUUGAAGGCAGAGAUUUCUAAGAGCUGAAAUCCAGAAAAUAUAGAAAAACUGCAAAAAAAUAAAUAAAAAAUCUACUGUUUCAUAGGAGAUCGGGAAGAGCUAAAAAAUACAGAAAACAGAGAAACGACUAAAAAAAGAGAUAAAACUACUGUUUCAUUGAUUUUGCUUUGAAUUUGGGAAGUUUCGAUAUUUUUGAAACAAAUUUCCUGUUCAUCUGGAGUAGAAUGCUUUGAGUUUGGUUUGUCAAAAGCCUGGUUGAGGUCAGCUUCGAUUACUGUUUGAUUGAGAGUAGAUCUGGACUAUUUCCCAUCAUUUUUGUGGCUGAAAUGGACUGUAUUUGUUGAGUCUUGCUGUGCUGCUGCUGUUUCGAUCAUAUACUGAAACUCACCUGCUCUUGUUUUCCUCUUAUUUCCCAGGUACUUAGAUCUGAAUCCCAAAUAUGUAAAGAAUGAUUUAUGGGAUGUCUUUACCGAAGAGAAAUGAAUAAUUGUGCUUUCUUUUACCAGAUGUCAUCUCUUCUUAGAUUUUUUAGUUUGCUUUGUCGAGUCUUAUCUCAACAUGUCGUUUUAUCAGGCUGUUUUGAAGUUUUUAUAGUAAAGCUACAAUGGGACUAUAUGUAGUAUUUGUUGAUUUCCAUUUGUUUAAUAUCUAAGUUCUGCUGUUGUUAGAGGUGAUCGUCAGCUUGAGAUCCAUGCAUAUUGUUGCGCAGAUUUUUGAAUGUCUUGUUAGUCACAAGAUUGCUACAAUUAAGACUGAAUUGGAUGGUUAUUAUAUGACUAAGUGUGUAAUAAAAUUAAGCAUGUAUAGCUAUAUUCAGUGUGAAGUUUGAGUAAGGUUUAUAUUCAACUGCUUUCCAGUUGCUUUUCCUGUUCAGGUGAUUGUUAAGUAUUCACGUUAUUUCAUCAGACUUCACAAUUGCUUUUCUCAAAAAUUUCAAUGGGCAUGACACGAGAUAGUGUGAUUCAGAAUUGACUUUGGUUUAAUAGUGUAAAAAUGAAUGUAAAGGACUGGCUUCCAUGUUGAUGUGUGGACUCGAACUAGGGACCUCGUCGUUGGUUGAAACUGCCCUUGUCUAAGUUUGGACUCUCCCUUGAGUCAGUCUUGGACUGAUACCAAUUGGUAAUUCAGAACAUGUCCUACGUCUGUGAGCCAUUGGGCCCCACGCUAAGCCAAAGUUUGGAUUUCAUGCUGUUAGCCUCUUGCAUUUAUAAAAUGUAUUCUCUUAGUUUGGCCCGCAGAAGAACCCGUGUCCAUUAAUAUCGAGCAAUUACAAUUUUAGUAGCCCUUUUAAUUAAUUUGUCGUUUCUUAAUAUUGGAGAUGUGCC